AUGUUUCGUUGUAGGUUUUUGAAUUAAUUCUGUUGUAAUCAUCAUUUCUGAUUAAGUAAUUCUUUCCCCCUCUGUUGAACCUUUUUUUCCGGUUCAGUUUUCUCCUAAUUAAUCAACAUAGGUUAUAAACUGUUGAUGCGAUUCAAUAAAUUUCAUUCCUUAGUCCAGUUCUGAUAGUUAAUUCAUGUUCGUGCUAAAUGUUAGUUUGGUUUAACUCUGAAUUCAUUUUUCUGAAUUGGUUGAUUGAAUUGAAAUAGCUAGUGCCCAGUCUUGUAUAAAACUGUAUCUAUUUCCAUAAUUGUUUGGAUUGCUAUUUGUUCAAAUGGUAUCAGUUGUGCUGUCUAUCAUUUUGUUGCAUAUGAGUUCAGUAGGUUGUACAUGUUCUUUCAUUUCUGUAUGAGUUCCAUAUUGAUUUUGUUCUGGAUCGUUGAUUUUGUUUUGAUAUCAUUUUUGUCUAAUCUGAAUGGUUGUUUGAAUAUGUGUGGUUGAGUUGAAUCUUGAUUAAAUUUAGUUUUUGAGAUGCUUGUUAGGAGUCAGUCCGUAUGGAUAAAUGCUGAUUAAUUAAGUGAGCUUGGUUAUAGCUGUUUUAAUUAGCAGGUAAUCAGAUUUAGAUAUGCCCAGCUUUGAGCAAAUCCUGAAUAAAGAGCAUUAACAGUAGGUUUCAGGGUUAUUUUAGGAAUAGCAAAAUAGAAAUCCGGAUUUGACUGAGUAUUAUGACCAGUAGGACCCCAAUGUGCUUUAACUUGAAUAAAUUAGUAGUAGGGGUCCACUAGGUAAUGAGAAUGUUUGACUGCUUUUGGUUGAUUGAUAAUUAGGAAUAGUAGCGUAAUAAUAAAAGUGUAAAAAGAAGAAUAGAAGAGCAUAUUUGGGAGGGGGGCUGUUAUUAAAGUAAAGAUUAAGUGGGGGAGUAAUAAUGAAAGUGUUGUAAAAAUAAUUAAAAGGGAAAAGGGGAGAGGUCUUGUGGGAUCGAUAAAUAAGAGGCAUUUGGUUGAUGGAGGGAUCAGAUUUUAGAGAACAAAAAACUUGAGAAAAGAGAGUUAAGUUAAAACUAUUAGCUUUCUAAUACAAAGAGUUCAGUGAGUCUAGAGUGGAAAUAGACUAACUUUCAAUCUGAAAGAGUGAGUAAUUUGAGAAUUCAGAAAUUAAAGUUAGCCCCUUUUGUCAUCAAAAAAUCAUUUUUAGUUCGUGAUUUGAAGCUACAAGCUUCUGUUUGGAGUGUGUAUUAUUUUUUUUGGAAGUUCUUGUUCAAUUCCAAGCUUGAUUGAGAUUAUUUAGCUGCCUGCGUUUGAACAUUUUGGUUUGGCCAUCUCGAAUUUGGUUGUUCCCGGAUUUUACUGGUUUUCAAUCUAUUCUGAAUUGAGCGCGGCACUGCUGGUUGCUUUCUGCCUAUCGUUGUUGUUGAUGUGUUGUUGUUACUGCACCUACUGAUCCUUUUCUUCUCUCUUCCAUUUUUCUGUUUCCAGGUACAUAUUCUACAACCUUCAAGCUAUGGAAAUAAAGUGAUAAUAUUACCCGAAGUAGACUUGAAAAUUUUUGUUAUCUUUUAUUUAAUUUCGAGGUGUAAACCAAUAGCCUAUUUGAUAUUACAUGUUGUAUACCGGAAUGAUUCUAAAUGUAAUGGACCUUCAAUAUAAGGUUAUUCACUUAGCUUGUGAAGCUCUUAGGAAUGUGGAAAUGUGAGUAUGUGAGUUUUUUCCUCUUGAAUAUUAUUGGUAAUGACCCAUAUUAAGUUAGUCAAUAGUUUCUGUUAGUCGAAUGAUUUACGUGUUUUCUUGAAUCUAUCCAAAUGCCUAAAACUAGAAUCAUAGUUAACCCUGCUUAUGUACCUUAAAAUAAUUCGUUUGCAGCCAUGUGAUUUCUAAGGUUCAAAAACAAUAAAUGGC
This 1883-nucleotide long non-coding RNA is filed under the name Nicotiana benthamiana. RNAcentral's name for it is "long non-coding RNA (NBEN_LNC005755)". The record is from RNAcentral. Lineage: Eukaryota; Viridiplantae; Streptophyta; Magnoliopsida; Solanales; Solanaceae.